Pangasianodon gigas (Mekong giant catfish) is the source of this 74-nucleotide non-coding RNA. NCBI's taxonomy places the organism in Eukaryota, Metazoa, Chordata, Actinopteri, Siluriformes, Pangasiidae. The record is from the annotation of a GenBank genome assembly.
GGGAGUAGUGGCCCAGUGGUUAAGGCUUUGGGCUUCUGACCAUAAGGUUGUGAGUUUGAAUCUCAGUGCUGCCA